RNAcentral lists this ribosomal RNA (1942 nucleotides) under human gut metagenome. RNAcentral's name for it is "bacterial LSU rRNA". It matches the Rfam family "Bacterial large subunit ribosomal RNA", at positions 523 to 2497 of the family's 2925-position model. The record is from RNAcentral.
ACCCCUGGCGGGGAGUGAAAAGAACCUGAAACCGUGUGCUUACAAACAGUUAGAGCCCAUCAAUGGGUGAUAGCGUGCCUUUUGUAGAAUGAGCCGGCGAGUUACGUUAAUUUGCAAGGUUAAGCUUUUAGGAGUGGAGCCGUAGCGAAAGCAAGUCUUAAUAGGGCGAAUAAGUAGAUUGACGUAUACCCGAAACCGGGUGAUCUAGCCAUGAGCAGGUUGAAGCUUGGGUAAAACCAGGUGGAGGACCGAACCAGGGUCUGUUGAAAAAGACUUGGAUGACUUGUGGCUAGGGGUGAAAUUCCAAUCGAACCCGGAGAUAGCUGGUUCUCCCCGAAAUAGCUUUAGGGCUAGCGUUGUGAGAAGAGUUAUACGAAGGUAGAGCACUGAAUGGGUGAGGGCCGCACCUCGCGGUACCAAUCUCAAUCAAACUCCGAAUGUCGUAUAAUAUGCGCAGCAGUAAGACUAUGGGUGAUAAGGUCCAUGGUCAAAAGGGAAACAGCCCAGACCGCCAGUUAAGGUCCCAAAAUUAUGCUAAGUGGGAAAGGAGGUGGAGUCGCUUAAACAACUAGGAGGUUGGCUCAGAAGCAGCCAUCCUUUAAAGAGUGCGUAAUAGCUCACUAGUCGAGUGAUUCUGCGCCGAAAAUGUAUCGGGGCUAAGCAUAAUACCGAAGCUGCGGGAUUAGAUGAAGAAUCUAAUCGGUAGGGGAGCGUACUAAGUGCGCAGAAGGUUGACCGGAAGGGCAGCUGGAGCGCUUAGCAGUGAGUAUGCCGGUGUGAGUAGCGAUAAGAUGGGUGAGAAUCCCAUCCGUCGAAAGCCUAAGGUUUCCAGGGGUAAGGCUCGUCCUCCCUGGGUAAGUCGGGUCCUAAGGUGAGGCUGAGAAGCGUAGCUGAUGGACAUCAGGUUGAUAUUCCUGAACCACCAUAAAACUGAAGGAAUGACGGAGGAGGCUAAUCAGAGCUGAUUAAUGGAUUUCAGUUUAAGUACAAAGAGGGUUACGUAGGCAAAUCCGCGUAGCAAAACCUUGAAGUAUGACGACGUAAGUCUGGUGAAGCCACACUUCCAAGAAAAGUUUCUAGGUGUAUUUUAUGGUGCCCGUACCGUAAACGGACACACGUAGGCGAGGAGAGAAUCCAAAGACGCGCGAGAUAAUUCUUGUUAAGGAACUCUGCAAAAUUACUCUGUAACUUCGGAAUAAAGAGGGCUCCCGUGAGGGAGACGCAGAAAAUAGGCCCAAGCGACUGUUUAACAAAAACAUAGGUUUCUGCUAAAGCGUAAGCUGAUGUAUAGGAGCUGACGCCUGCCCAGUGCUGGAAGGUUAAGAGGAGAAGUUAGUCGCAAGGCGAAGCUUUGAAUUGAAGCCCCAGUAAACGGCGGCCGUAACUAUAACGGUCCUAAGGUAGCGAAAUUCCUUGUCAGGUAAGUUCUGACCCGCACGAAAGGCGUAACGAUUUGGGCGCUGUCUCAACAAGAAACUCGGUGAAAUCAUAGUACCUGUGAAGAUGCAGGUUACCCGCGAUCAGACGGAAAGACCCCAUGGAGCUUCACUGCAACUUAAUAUUGAUAUUGGGUGUGUGAUGUACAGGAUAGGUGGGAGACAAAGAAGCGAGUACGCUAGUAUUCGUGGAGUCAACCUUGGGAUACCACCCCUCGCACAUUUAGUAUCUAACUAGUUUCCAUAAGCUGGGAAUAGAACAGUGUUAGGUGGGCAGUUUGACUGGGGCGGUCGCCUCCCAAAGAGUAACGGAGGCGCCCAAAGGUUCCCUCAGAAUGGUUGGAAAUCAUUCAUAGAGUGUAAAGGCAGAAGGGAGCUUGACUGCGAGACGGACAGGUCGAGCAGGAACGAAAGUUGGGCUUAGUGAACCGGCUGUGCUGAAUGGAAAGGCAGUCGAUCAACGGACAAAAGCUACCCUGGGGAUAACAGGCUGAUCUCCCCCAAGA